RNAcentral lists this long non-coding RNA (383 nucleotides) under Elaeis guineensis (African oil palm). RNAcentral's name for it is "long non-coding RNA (EGUI_LNC069948)". The record is from RNAcentral. Lineage: Eukaryota; Viridiplantae; Streptophyta; Magnoliopsida; Arecales; Arecaceae.
CAUGCACAAGACUUCUCACGUCCCAAAAUUUUUCUCCAAAAAUCUUCUUCUUGCACGCCCCACUCUUCUCCUCCUUUUAUAACAACGUCAAAAGUCUUAUCCAAAAGAAAGGAUAAAGAUGAGUAAUUGCACAUUUGAAUUCAAAUCAAAUUUUGAAUUCAAAUGGACACCAACUCAUCCCUUAUCCACUAAAGGCAUGAGGCAUGGCUUAAAUUAUGCAUGGAGUGAUUUCAUGAGAAACCUUUUCUCAUGUAAUAAAUGGGGCAUAAAAAAAGGGAUAAGGUGCAAAGAUUGAUUGCCCAUUCAAAUUCAAACUUUAUUUUGAAUUUGAAUGGCCAACCAAUCAUCCUUAUCCAUUCAUUUGACACAUUAAAGUGGGGCGU